Molecule: ribosomal RNA, 116 nt
Filed under: Pteropus alecto (black flying fox)
Lineage: Eukaryota; Metazoa; Chordata; Mammalia; Chiroptera; Pteropodidae
Source: RNAcentral
GUCUACGGCCAUGCCACCCUGAACAAGCCCGAUGUCUGAUCUCGGAAGCUAAGCAGGAUCAGGCCUGGUUAGUACUUGGAUGGGAGACCACCUAAGAAGACCAGGUGCUGUAGGCA